RNAcentral lists this unclassified non-coding RNA (575 nucleotides) under Hevea brasiliensis (rubber tree). The record is from RNAcentral. Lineage: Eukaryota; Viridiplantae; Streptophyta; Magnoliopsida; Malpighiales; Euphorbiaceae.
CACCUGUGCUGUCAACAUGAUUGUCCUCUUUGUCAGAUAUCCGUUGCCAGUUUGCCAAAUCUGCAGUUUUGCACUUUCUUCUAUUUGAUUCAUAUAUCCGUCGUUUUUCCUUUUUUGCAGCAUCUAAUUUAUAUGAUCUCUGAGUUCCAAGGGCAAUCCGCCACUGUCGGGCUAGUAAGGAUGGAUCCCUAUGUGGGACAAUGAAUCUCCAAACUGACAUCCAAUCAUGUUUAAAAACCCUGAGUCCCUCAUGAAUGCAUUCUAUCUCCUCUGCAGUCAAUGGAGAAGUUUUCAUCCUCCGAACUGCCUUUAUUGGAUUUUCUGGUGCUUUUGAUGAGCAACGAUUUUUCUGCCUAACAAAAAUCUGGUGCUUAGAUUUGCAAGGAAGAAAACGCUGUUGAAUUGCCUUCCAAUCUGUAUUAUGUUCCAUCAUAUUCCAUCAUUCCCAAAGCUAACAAUUCAUCCUCUGAAUCGGUAAAAAGGACUCGAUUUGCAACAGCUGCAGGAGGUGGCUUAUGCGGAAAUAGUGCUGGAUUGAACAGAGGAAAAAACCUCUGUGCUAACUUGCUAAUAUC